RNAcentral lists this ribosomal RNA (376 nucleotides) under uncultured organism. RNAcentral describes it as "bacterial SSU rRNA". It matches the Rfam family "Bacterial small subunit ribosomal RNA", at positions 526 to 896 of the family's 1533-position model. The record is from RNAcentral.
CGUAGGUGGCAAGCGUUGUCCGGAAUUAUUGGGCGUAAAGCGCGCGCAGGCGGUUCCUUAAGUCUGAUGUGAAAGCCCCCGGCCUCAACCGGGGAAGGGUCAUUGGAAACUAGGGGAACGUUGAGUGCAGAAGAGAAGAGCGGAAUUCCACGUGUAGCGGUGAAAUGCGUAGAGAUGUGGAGGAACACCAGUGGCGAAGGCGGCUCUUUGGUCUGUAACUGACGCUGAGGCGCGAAAGCGUGGGGAGCAAACAGGAUUAGAUACCCUGGUAGUCCACGCCGUAAACGAUGAGUGCUAAGUGUUAGAGGGUUUCCGCCCUUUAGUGCUGCAGCUAACGCAUUAAGCACUCCGCCUGGGGAGUACGGCCGCAAGGCUG